Molecule: long non-coding RNA, 1282 nt
Organism: Amphiprion ocellaris (clown anemonefish)
Lineage: Eukaryota; Metazoa; Chordata; Actinopteri; Pomacentridae
Exons: 4
Source: RefSeq, a predicted model, not a curated record
UGGAGGAGGAAGCAGAGACUCUGCUCUCCUCGUUUGGAUUAAUUCUGAUUUAAUAACUGUUGGUUUAUUUAUCGGUGCAGCAGCAGAACAUUUUCCACAGACAGUUUUCCUGCCCGUUGGCUUGUUUUAACCAGUUUUCUACCUUCGGCUGAUUCUACCAGCAGACACUGAAAGGACUCUGAUAGUUUGAGUGAAAGUAGCAGUUCCUCCUUAAGGUCAGAGAUUGCAGCAUCUGAGGGCCUCUUCAAAAGAAGAUGUAGUUGAUGAAGGCGUUCUGGAGCAGGACCAGAAAGACCACGACCAAGCAGCCUUGAGAUCUUAGGCAGCGUCUCCCUCAGGUCCCUCUCUAUCUCCCCACACAUCCACCAACCACUGGAACACAUCUCCAAAGUUCUGCUGGGCCAGCUCAGCUUCCCUUCAGAAGAAGUGGCGCCACCUGCCAGAUGAAGGAGCCUUUUGAGAGGCAGCUGGCAUCGUGAUUGGACUGUCCUUUGUUCUAUUCCAAUCCAGCUUCAGCUCCAGAGACGGCAGGCGGGACGAGUCAACGGAGGCCGGGUGGACGAAGGCAUGCAGCUGAGUACAAUCCAGAAAACAACAGAGGAGGAGUGCAGUGGCCCAGGGCCAGAACAGAGUAGCAUGACCAAAGAACUACAGACUCUUCACAACCUGCUCAAACUCUUGGUACAGGACCUCACCACACGGGUCAAGAAGGUUUCCUUCUCAUUUCUACUCUAAAGCUCACCUUCUCCUGCUCAAACUGCUGACAAAUGUUUCUGCUGCUCUAAAGUCUGCUCUCCAGAACUUCCUAAAAACUCUCAAAGUCUCUUCUGCUGCAGGCUGCUUUGUAGAACUGUUGCAGAAAACCUCACUAAACCACAUGGAGGGGCCUCAAGAUAGUCAUCCAAAUGAAACCGUACAAAAACCAAACUAGCACAACCCAAAUGCUAAAGUCUCCUGCAGCCUACCAGAGAACCUCUGAGAAUAGAGAAUCAGGACAGGAACUCUUACCUUCUGGACAACCAACGUUGGUUCUCAAACAAGAAUACAGAAUGUGUCUGAGCAAAAACCUCUAAAGACUCACUACAGCCAAGAUAAAGACACAGCUGCACCAAAUCCACUAAUCACUGCACACAUUAACGCCAUGUGCUAACUGUGGCUAAAGAAGCACAUUUACCAAGACAACUAUCCAGUACAAAGCCCUAAAACACACCAAGAAACACAUUAAAGACGAUUUUACUGCUGGAAGCUGCAAACCAACGCCUAAAGAACAAACCACAGCAAU